Molecule: ribosomal RNA, 442 nt
Filed under: uncultured bacterium
Lineage: Bacteria
Description: partial 16S ribosomal RNA
Rfam family: Bacterial small subunit ribosomal RNA
Source: RNAcentral
CCUACGGGUGGCAGCAGUGGGGAAUAUUGGGCAAUGGGCGCAAGCCUGACCCAGCAACGCCGCGUGAAGGAAGAAGGCUUUCGGGUUGUAAACUUCUUUUAAGGGGGAAGAGCAGAAGACGGUACCCCUUGAAUAAGCCACGGCUAACUACGUGCCAGCAGCCGCGGUAAUACGUAGGUGGCAAGCGUUGUCCGGAUUUACUGGGUGUAAAGGGCGUGCAGCCGGAGAGACAAGUCAGAUGUGAAAUCCACGGGCUCAACCCGUGAACUGCAUUUGAAACUGUUUCCCUUGAGUGUCGGUGCGGUAAUCGGAAUUCCUGGUGUAGCGGUGAAAUGCGUAGAUAUAAGGAAGAACACCAGUGGCGAAGGCGGAUUACUGGACGAUAACUGACGGUGAGGCGCGAAAGCGUGGGGGGCAAACAGGAUUAGAUACCCGGGUAGUC